Molecule: unclassified non-coding RNA, 378 nt
Filed under: uncultured fungus
Lineage: Eukaryota; Fungi
Description: partial contains 5.8S ribosomal RNA and internal transcribed spacer 2
Rfam family: 5.8S ribosomal RNA (bases 1-133)
Source: RNAcentral
UGGCUCUCGCAUCGAUGAAGAACGCAGCGAAAUGCGAUAAGUAAUGUGAAUUGCAGAAUUCAGUGAGUCAUCGAAUCUUUGAACGCACCUUGCGCUCCUUGGUAUUCCGAGGAGCAUGCCUGUUUGAGUGUCUUGAAGUCAUCAACCCCUACCGUUUUGUGCGGUCUGGGUGUUGGAUCUGGGGGCUUGCUGCCGAGAGGCGGCUCCCCUCAAAUGCAUCGGUUGGGCCUGUGGGUCGUACUCGAUUGGGCGUUGUACUAUCCUCGCUUUUAACGAGAUGUUCCCCUCUUUUGUGCCCCUCCACGACCUGCCUUCUGAGUGGCGGUCAAGCAAAAACUUUGAAAUUCUGACCUCAAAUCAGGUAGGACUACCCGCUGA